Molecule: ribosomal RNA, 86 nt
Filed under: Deltaproteobacteria bacterium
Lineage: Bacteria; Pseudomonadati; Myxococcota; Myxococcia
Description: partial 16S ribosomal RNA
Rfam family: Bacterial small subunit ribosomal RNA
Source: RNAcentral
CAAACUGGAGAGUAUGAUCCUGGCUCAGAACGAACGCUGGCGGCGUGCCUUACACAUGCAAGUCGAACGGAAUUGAGGUGCUUGCA